GUAGAGUGAGACUUUCAGGGGACUGUGUUUUCUCUUUCAGUUUCACUUUUGUACUUGCAGUACAGACUACUGCCACGCUAGCUGGCUAGGUUGCUCUGUAAGUAAGGCUUUUCACUAUUAAAUACCCUUAUAUUUCUACCUGACUCUUUAUUGGUAAUUUCCCACUAUAUCUGGUUGUCAGGAGCAGGAUAUGGAAACCUACACCCCAUUUGGGACAGGCUGUGGGUCCCACCAGACCUGUGACCUUGGAGGGGAAAAGUCCCUCUCUUCACAGGUGUCCCAGGCUCCCAGCCAACCCGUUGCGGUUGAGCUGUUCCCAGCUUGGAGACUGACACCGAUCUCCUAUGGUUUUACCACCAUGUGCUCGGGACCAGCUGGGACUGCUGCCUACCUGCACCACCAGGCCUCCAGCCCUUGAACCAUGUUGGACUGCCACCCACCAAUGCCAAGCUGACCACCUGUGCCAUCCGCUGGACAAACAUAGUUACUGCAUCUGGAGUAGAAAUCAGGUAAAAUUAUGGCGGAAUAUAUAUCAUUUGCUAAAAUUGGUAAUAUUUUUGCUUAUUACAUGAAUUCAAUGUUUGAGGACGAUGCUAAUUUGCCAAUUACUGGCCUAUAUGCCAUAACGGGCGUUAGCUUGCUGGUACAAAUAAUAUUACUAGCCAGAACACUCAGAAAUAGAGAUAAGGAUAAGCUCACCACAUACUUACCGUAAAUAACAGCUUUACGCACUGAGGUUUUGGAGAGUAGAUUAGGUCAGACCACAAUUGUGCAGCAAGUGGAACAGCAAUUGGAUGAUAAGCUUGGCUCUGUGUCCAUCACACUAAAGAAAGAGCCGUCAGUUAUCCAAGAUGAGAUGCAGCGUAUUUAUGCCAUGUCUGAGGCCUUAGAGGCUAGGCUGUCAGAAGACCAUGAUGAGCUAAAGAAUAUCUGUAGCCAGCUAGACACUCAGAUAGGCAAUGUUACCCAGAAAUUAGAUGCAAAGGUCCAAGAUACCCAGGAUAGGGUUGAAGAAUUGGACAAUGCAAUUCAAUCAAUUAUUGAAGCAUCCAAGGUAGCAGAUCACAAAUUUGAGUCUAGAUUUGAAUGUCUGGAAGAUUAUUUACAGUACAGGACUGACAGAUUACAAAGGUCCAUACGGUCCACUGCUGAGGACUCAAAAUCAGCAAAUCAUGACCUGGAAUCUAGACUCCAAUACAUAGAGGGCAGUUUCCAUGCCAUCCAGAUGCUGCCUAAGGAUGAUCAUAUUAAAGACCUAGAAAAACAUGGAGAUG
Molecule: long non-coding RNA, 1274 nt
Filed under: Cricetulus griseus (Chinese hamster)
Lineage: Eukaryota; Metazoa; Chordata; Mammalia; Rodentia; Cricetidae
Description: lncRNA (ENSCGRG00015039547.1)
Source: RNAcentral